GACAGAGGGUGCAAACGUUGUUCGGAAUUACUGGGCGUAAAGCGCGUGUAGGCGGUUACUUAAGUCGGAUGUGAAAGCCCUCGGCUUAACUGAGGAAGUGCAUCCGAAACUGGGUAGCUAGAGUACGAAAGAGGGUCGCGGAAUUCCCGGUGUAGAGGUGAAAUUCGUAGAUAUCGGGAGGAACACCGGUGGCGAAGGCGGCGAUCUGGGAAGAUACUGACGCUGAGGUGCGAAAGCGUGGGGAGCAAACAGG
This 253-nucleotide ribosomal RNA is filed under the name uncultured bacterium. RNAcentral's name for it is "partial 16S ribosomal RNA". It matches the Rfam family "Bacterial small subunit ribosomal RNA", at positions 524 to 776 of the family's 1533-position model. The record is from RNAcentral.